Molecule: ribosomal RNA, 497 nt
Filed under: uncultured bacterium
Lineage: Bacteria
Description: partial 16S ribosomal RNA
Rfam family: Bacterial small subunit ribosomal RNA
Source: RNAcentral
GAUGAACGCUGGCGGCGUGCUUAACACAUGCAAGUCGAGCGGAAAGACGAGGAGCUUGCUCCUCUGACGUUAGCCGCGGACGGGAGAGUAACACGUGUAUCACCUCCCUAUAAGUCUGGGAUAACUACGGGAAACCGGAGCUAAUACCGUAUAAUAUAUUGAACCGCGUGGCUCAAUAGUGAAAGACGGUGUUGCUGUCACUUAUAGAUGGAUCCGCGCCGCAUUAGCUAGUUGGUAAGGUAACGGCUUACCAAGGCAACGAUGCGUAGCCGACCUGAGAGGGUGAUCGGCCACACUGGAACUGAGACACGGACCAGACUCCUACGGGAGGCAGCAGUAGGGAAUUUUCGGCAAUGGGCGAAAGCCUGACGGAGCAACGCCGCGUGUGGGAUGAAGGCCUUCGGAUCGUAAAACUCUGUUAUUAGGGAAGAACCAAUUUGGAAGUAAAUAUGGAGGUCUUGACGGUACCGAAUCAGAAAGCAACGGCUAACUACGUG